UAGAGUGAAGCUCGCAGGGUUGAGCGCUUAGCUGUUAACUAAGUCAUUACGGGAUCGAGGCCCGUCAUUCUAG
Molecule: transfer RNA, 73 nt
Filed under: Odorrana schmackeri (piebald odorous frog)
Lineage: Eukaryota; Metazoa; Chordata; Amphibia; Anura; Ranidae
Also listed under: 1 other name
Description: tRNA-Asn
Rfam family: tRNA
About the family: Transfer RNA (tRNA) molecules are approximately 80 nucleotides in length. Their secondary structure includes four short double-helical elements and three loops (D, anti-codon, and T loops).
Source: RNAcentral